CUUUACUAUAGCUUGGUACUGGGUCGUAUCGUACGAUGUGCAGGAUAGGUGGGAGACGGUGAUGGAGGGGCGCCAGCCCUUCCGGAGUCAUCCUUGAGAUACCACCCUUCGUACGGUGCGGCUCUAACCCGGAAACGGGGACAGUGCUUGGUGGGUAGUUUAACUGGGGCGGUUGCCUCCUAAAAUGUAACGGAGGCGCGCAAAGGUGGGCUACUUCCGGAUGGAAAUCGGAAGAAUAGUGUAUUCGCAUAAGCCCGCUUGACUGGGAGACCAACAAGUCGAUCAGAGACGAAAGUCGGCGAAAGUGAUCCGGCACCAACACGUGGGAGUGGUGUCGCUCAACGGAUAAAAGUUA
Molecule: ribosomal RNA, 355 nt
Filed under: uncultured organism
Description: bacterial LSU rRNA
Rfam family: Bacterial large subunit ribosomal RNA
Source: RNAcentral